UAUUUAACGUCCUAUUUAUUCCUAUCUUAGACAGCUGGAUGCAACCACGUGAAGAAGAUAAAGUUAGUAAAUGCAAUCUACAUUGAUGACUCAGCACUUUGUCAAUUGAAUUUGCUCAGCAAAAGUUUGGUUGAAAUGGAAAUCAGCGAGUGCCCGGAAGUAACUUCAAAGGUCUCAAAUGUUUGACUGAAUUGCAGAAUUUGAAACAUUUGAAAAUUGGAGAGCUUCUCAACGUGAAAGAUGAAGAAAUAAAUGAUUUGAUAAAACUGUUGCCAACAAAUUGCGAUUUGAUUCGUGAAGGAAAAGAGAAAGAAAAAGUGAAAGAAUAAGAAUGUAAAAGGUAUUUAUCAACAUUAUUCAUGAUCGAUUACGUUACCAUGAAGUUUCAAGGUUGUUAACCAAUGAUUGUAUUCUAAUGAGACUGAAAAUGGUGAUUCAUAACAAAAUAUAAAGUAGUUUAAGUUGAUAAAACAUGUUUAAAAUGUAGUUAAUUUAUUGAUUUAUUAUAAAGUAAUUAGAAUAUCAAUAUAGCAAAUUAAUGUAAUAUAAUAA
Molecule: long non-coding RNA, 552 nt
Organism: Nilaparvata lugens (brown planthopper)
Lineage: Eukaryota; Metazoa; Arthropoda; Insecta; Hemiptera; Delphacidae
Exons: 3
Source: RefSeq, a predicted model, not a curated record